UUACUCUUAUUUUCUCAUCAGUUUCUUUUCCUUGCUCUUCUCCAACUCUCAAGAGUCAAAAUCGCUAGUUUAAAACAUGACACUCGACAACCUUAAUUGCUGCCCAACACAAGGUGAAAUUUUAUCACGUCUAAUUAUAUUGUAUUUAUUUUUUGUAAUGUGUAGAUUGUUUGAGUUUAGUUGGUUGAUUACUUGAUUUUAGAUACGAAUGUGAAGUAAAAUGGUAUCUGGACAUUCGAUUUUGUUCAUGUUAGGCAAUGUGUUUGUAAAAUAGUUGUGUGUUGUUUGAGGUUAUUUUGAUGCUGGCUUGGAUGCUUUAACGUGGUGAUACUGACUUAGUUAUGUAUAUGUUUGCUUUAUGUGAUGUUGGCAGCCUCAUUUUAUCGUGGAAGGGGUUUCUGAAAGGCCCAAAAACUUACAUAUGCUUGGCUGUCCGUCAUGGAAUUUUGUGGUUUCCUCUGUCUUAAGCACUUGAAUGUGAUCUCAAUUGUUGGUUUACUUAUGAUAGCCGUUUACCUUAACGAUAUCCUCAAACUUAGUAUGAAAAGCAGAUUCCACAAGCUUGAAGCUACUUCUUAAAAAAAUAAUUUUCCUCAUUUUGUUUGAUUUUACGAAUGUGGAAGUAAUAAUUUGAGUUUUAGAAAGUGAUUAGAUAAUCUUGAAAACUCCAGAUUAAUGUAAGUUCUAAUCUGUUUGAAUAGCUUCCAUGGAUGGAAAAUAUUUUACCAACUUAUAUCUACUUAGCCUAAGAAACUCGUUUAAAUAAUGGCACUGUUUUGGGUUCUAAAUUGAGUUGAAUAGUUCAUAAUUAUUCCAUUGCGAAAACUUCGAAUAGUUGCAACUUUUUCACUGUUUUUCAUAUGUUUAUCCAAGUCAAUCACUUCAACAUGACCAAGUAGAAAUGAACAGAGAACUUGAAACAAGCUCAAGAAUGAUGUGUUGAAACUAUUGAAUUGUGCAACUAUUUCCUUGUUUAAAUACAUAUCUAUGAUAUGUUUAAUAAGUGAAGAAUGCAGAACAUAUGACUGCUUCCUUUUGAUUAGAGGUCCAAUCCGUUAAAGUUGCUUUCCUUAUGUUUUUUUCUCAUUUAAUCGUACGCAAUCUUUAGUUACCUCAUUUUCUGUAAUUAGCUAUGUGAAUAAUCUCAAAAAUAUGAGUGUGGAAGUGAUUCAACAUAGCUUUUUGUAUCUUUUAAUUGGAUUUUCUCUUCAUGGAAAUUUAAGGUUAUUAGUACUACUUCUUGAUUAUAUUUUCCAGUAAGCUACCAUGACUGAAUAAAUUAUUUUAAAGUUGAGAUUUAGGAUAACAUUUUCUCUUUAAUGGGAGAACUUCACCAAUUUGGACCAAAUGAGUUAAGUACACAACAGUUUGAAAUAAUCUUUUUUUUUAUUUCUAUUUUGUGUAUUGUUUAAGCUAACGUAUAGUUUAAAAUGUUUCCCUAUUGAUAUGUUUCUUCUCUAAUCUGCUCAUUUUGGUUUAUCUAGUCACUUUCUAAUCACUCUUUCUUUAUUUGAUUUAUUUCUUGUACAUUCGGGAGCUGGAUUUCAUUUUGGAAUUCAUUUGACCCCGAAAUAUCGGGUCGGCAACUAUAGAAAUCUGCGUUACUUCAUAGUCAAGCAUUAGGAGUUUUCUUAACUCCCUCCACCGGUUACUUGUGUUAUUAUUAUUGUUGAUAUUGCUACAGAAUAAUUCUAUGUUUUGUGUGAAUUGGUGUCGACUCACAGCUUUAUUUGUAAUUAGUUUAGGUGUACGUGUUUUACUCGUGUACCUUAUUUUAGUGAGUUCAAACAUUACACUAAAUAGAAUAUUUAUUUAAAUAAUAAAGAUGAAUAUAAUAAUUAAAUUUAAUAACUUUUGAGAAUUUAAGAUGGAGAAUUUAUUUAUUAAAUCUAAUCUUUACCAAAAAUAUUUUUAAUAGUCAACCAACAUUCAUCUAUUAUCUGUAAAUUGCAACAAAAUAAUAUAAUGAUAGACAUCAAAAUAAUACAAUGAAAUCUAAUCUUUACAUACAAAAAAAUUUUCAAAGUCGUUCGAUACUCAUCUACCACCUGUAAACAAUAACAAAAUAAUACAAUAAUAGAGAUAUCAAAAUAAUACAACUAAACCUAACCUUUACAUAAGAAAAUUCAUCAAAUCCGGUCAAUAUUUAUCUAUUACCUGUAAACUGCAACAAAAUAAUACGCUAAAAGUGAUAUCAAAAUAAUACAAUUAAAUUUAAAUUUUACACAAAAAAUUUUCGAAGCCGAUCGAGAUUCAUCUAUGAACUGUAAACUACCACAAAAUAACAAACUAAUAGAGAUAUUACGAUAAUAUAAUUAAACCUAACCUUUGCCUAAAAAAAAAUUCAAAGCCGACACACAUUCAUCUAGCAUCUGUAAAUUCAAAUAAAACGAUAAGAUAAUAAAGAUAUCAAAACAAUACAAUUAAACCUAACGUUUACACAAGAAAUUGUUCAAAGCCAACCAACAUUCAUCUAUGACCUGUAAACUAUAAAAAAAAAAUAUAAUAGCAAUCACAAAGCUUCGAUUUUGAUCCAACUAAUUCUUGUCUGAGCGAAAAUUUUGACCCUAAAGAAUGAUUUUGAAUGAAAACAAAGAAGAUAUAUAUACACACACAUAUUGAAUUCUAUUGUGCUGACAAAAAUAGUGAAGAAGUCGAGAGUCAGAAAAUCAAGCAUCCACCAAUCUAGAUAUGCAAUCGAAUCAACUUAGAUGAGCAUCAAUCAUAUUCUCUCAAUAGGCAAAUCGGUUUGUUCUCUACUUUUACAUACAUCUCAAUAUUUAUAGAAGUAUUUUCUUAAUAGAGUCCUAUUUUAGGAAUAUUUUUCUAAUUAAAUAGUAGAAAGAAAAAUAUUAAUUUAUUAUCCUACCAUAUAUUUUAGGAAUCUCAUAUAUUUUAGGAAGACUAAUUAAUAUAAUAAAAAAUAAUUAAAUAAUAAUUUUAAAAAAUAGUGAAAAGACAAUUUUAUCUAAAGAAGAGACUUUUAAUGAAGGAAAAAAAGUUUAAAUCACUUUUAUAAGGGUCUUCACAUUUUUAAUAUACUAGUUUUGGUGUACGCCUCUCGUGCGUGUAUCUCAUUUUAAUAAGUUUAAACAUUACAUAAAAUAUAAUAUUUAUUUAAAUAAUAAAGAUAAAUACAAUAAUUAAAUUCAACAUCUUUUGAAUAUGUAAAGAUGAAGAAUUUAUUUGAUUAGUUAUAUAGUUGUUGUAAAUAUCUAAGAUACAAAUGAGGCAAGUGAAAUACAUUGAUAACUCCUUAAAUUAUGGUUGGUUCCUUCAAUAAGCCGAUGAUUGGUGCUUGAUAAUUCAUAAAGUUGCAUAAUUUGGACUUGGUUCCAUCCCAAAAGUGCAAGAUUUGACCUGUUGAUUUCAUGUUUAAUCCCUCUUCUUGAUUAAAUAGUCUAUAUCUCAUUUCUACCGCUUCAAAUAUAGUCAGACUCUUUGUCUGCACUUCAUCCAUAAUUUUAAAUUUUAGUUUGUAACAUGGAUCCAAAUAAAAAUAAAAAUAAUGUCUUAGAAAAUAAAAAAAAAUAUAUUUAAUAUGAUUUGAUCAAGUGAAAUAAAUAUUGAAAAACUACUAUUAAAAAAUAUACAUCUUAUUGAGAAAAUAAUCUCAUGUCAAUCAACCAAUUCUAGUAAAUUUCUAUGUGAAUGGAGAUACAAAUAUAUAUUAUUUUAAAUAUAUAACAUUUUAAAUAUAUAAUUUGAAAUAUAUAUCAUUUUAAUUCUAUAACUAUUGAUGUAUUAGCAUAAAAAAUUGAAUGAAAGACAGAUGUUCCAUCUUUAGACGGAAUAUUUUGCAUCUUUUUCUUGAGAAAAUUGUGUGUUUUCAAGCAACUAAAGUUGUAUUUAACAAUGGAUUUGAGUGUUUUUAGGUUAAGAAGUUAGUUGAAGAAGAAAACCUGGAAAAGUAACAGAAAAGGGUCAUUGAUAAUCUAACUGGCCGAUCGUCAACCAUGCGACGGACCGCUGGGGUGGCCGUUAGAGUAAACCAGAAAGAAUCAAAUAAGAGACCCCUGCGACGGUCUAAUUGGAAGACCGUUAAUUAUCUGAUAGGCCGCCAACUUAGCCGUCAGGUCUAAACAGAAUCUGGAAAUUUGGAAAGUCAAGCGACGACCCAAGUGACGGACCGCCAGGACAGAGACAGUCCGUCGGGUUAUCCGUCGAUACUUAACAAAACCUGAAAUUAUGGAAACUCCAGUAAAGGUCCACCCGAUGGACCGUCAGUCCAUCGAUGGACCAUCGAGGUGACCGUUAAAUUAGACGCGGGUUUUCUGAAUUCAAAUUUUAAAUUCUUUUUACCUGGGAGCAUAUAAAUACCCAGUCAGGGUUUUAUUUCUAUCAUCUUGGGUAUUGUUACCUUAGUUUUUCCAUCUUUUAAAACCCCUUAACGUAGUAUUCUAGGAAUCAAGCUAAACUUGUGGAUCUAAUCAUUCCAUUUUCUAUUGAAGAUUCAAGAACUACUACUUGUAAUUUUUGUAAGUGAAUUCUGAAUUUAUUUAUGAACAACACGAAGACUUUGUCUCUUUUUUCUAUAGAGAUGUGUGUCUAAGCUUCCAUAACUAGUGUUAUGGGAGCCUUGAUGUGAAAUACUGAUUUGGGUUGUGAUUCUAAUUGAGUUCCAUAGGUAAUUGACAUUGUAUAACCCUCCUUCAUUUUAAUGACUUUUAUUGGUUGCAAACUUGAAAGGUGAGCCCAAAAACAUCACUUGUCCAAAUAGGAAAGUGUUGUUGGGAAAAGAAAAGGUUUACAUGGAAUUUGGAGGCUUUAACCUUUGAAUUAAUGGCAAAUGCCUUAACAGGAUUAACCUACAUGAGAAAAUAGUUGAAUAAGCAAUGAAUUCUUUAAGUUUGAGAAAAUUAAAGGUUAUACUAUCCAUUUAGGUUGAGAAACUAAUGGGUAAACAAUAGGAUUCAACUACUCUUAAAAUUGAAGUUAUUAAUUGGAACUCUAAAGUGAUUCACAACCUUAGAUGUUGAAGCAUCUUGGUGACCACAACUCUAGUAUGUUUACUAUCAUUGAAUUACUACUUGCAAAAUGAAUCAUUAGUAGGAACAACUCUGUUGCAAUUAUUUAGAACAUAAUCUAUAAACCAACUCCCUUUACGUAACACCUGAUUAUGUGCCAUCAAGUGCGUCUGCAGGGUUAGAAUCUGCACCACCAAUGGGUGGGGUAGAAUUUGCAGAAUAUAGGUAAACGUAGGAAAACUUCACCAAGUCUGUGAAAUUGCAAAAGAAAUUCACGAAGUAGCUUGACACUUGGACUGUAGAAUUCAAGCCUUACGUUGAUGGAAUUAUAGCUGAGGUAAUCCAUCCAUUCCAAGACAUUCAGAUGGGGAUUAAUCAAAUGGAGGAACGAAUCAACAAAAGGAUGGAUUCACUGUCCAUUCCAGACUUGGCAAACAUGGCAUAGUUUAAGAAGGCACAAGCUGAUAUCAAAAAACUGAAGAGAAGGCAGCCAUAGCAUACCAUUUUUUAUCCAUAUUUGGUAAUGAGUGAUGAUGACGAAGGCAUUGUUGAUCUAAUGGGAAGACCAUUGAAAGAUAAAGGGAAAUAGUGGGUAGAUGAAUGUGCCAAAAAGAAAGCUAAAAAGAGGAGAAAGAGAGAGGCUAGGUUGCUGGAGGAGCGAGAGUAUUAUGAUAUAAAGAAGGCCUCAAAAAUAUCAAGGAGAGAUAAAGAGAGAAUAAGAAAGAAAGUAGAAGAUAAAAUGGUUGGAGUGUCUACCAGUUCCGCCCCAGUAAGGGGGACGACUUCAAACCCUAUUUAGGAUGUGGUACCUUCAAUUUCGGAGGGAGAGUUUAUGAGUACGUUGUACCAGGUGAAGAAAAUGGAGCCUCACCAUAUUUCACAGAUGCCUCAGAUGAAUAAGAGGCAUUAUAAGUAUUUCCCCUCAUCUGUACUUAAAUUUUAUGCAUUUGAGGAUAAAGCAUAUAUUAUUCUGCAGAGGGGUGUACUUGUACCAUGGGGGGUUGUAUUGCCGAUAUUAUUUUCCUCUUAUGUGCUAUCUAGGAGAAUUGGCAUGUCUAGGAUUAUGUUUAAGUUCGCAUUUUUCUUUUCUAGGAUUAUGUCUAGGACUAUGUUUGUUAAUGUUUGUUUCUUAAAUAAAAGUAUCUUUUAAUUUUUCAUCUUGUUGUAUAUAUGAAUGAUGAUUGAUGUUGGAAUAAGGCUAUGAGCAUGUAUGUGUGAUUAUUUACUUUAGUCAUUUGACAUAUGUAAGAAACCUUCAGUGAUUUUGUAACUGGCAUUAACAUGUGAGAUGUGCAUAAAUCAUGUGAUGGAAAUCCUUAAGUUUAACUCAGUUACCUCUGUGUGUGAGAGGAUUUGUCUUUAUUUCUUGCAUGGUAUAGUACCUAAAACUUUCUCGGUUCAUUAAGGUUUUCUUGUAGUUGAUUCAAUAGGGAAAGAUAGCAGGUUUCCUUGUACAGUUAGUCCACUUAGCCAAAAUAAUUAACCCUAUCAAAAAGAGUUUUCCAUAUUUGAACCCUUUUUGAGCUUGUAUUAGUUUUAUUCAUCACCAAUAUCUCAAACUAACUCUCUUUAGGGUGUUAGUAUCUAACUCUGGCCCUGGUCCAAUAUUGGAGAUUGUGCACCUUAACUCAGGCAAAACACCUAAGUUGAGGGUGGCUAUUAUCAAGAUGUUGAGCAUCUAACAAAAAGUUGGUUUAGAACUUAGUUUUAAAAAGCAUUUUGCCCUGAUCUAUUCAAGAUAUUGUGCACCUUAAAUGAUUGCAUUAACAUAAGUUGAGGGUGGUUGAUGCUUGUAAAAAAGGGGGAUUAUGUCAAAGUGAGGCUGAAUGAUAGAAGUUGUAAAUGAGUUGAUAAAAUAGUAGCUUGGUUGAGUAAGAAUGCAAGGGAAAAGAAGUUUAUGUCUGAAUGUUGAGUCACUUUUACCAAAUUUUAUCCUCACCUAGCCCGAAGCCUCAUUACAAGCUUGAAAAAGACCUCCUUGAUCCUGACGAAUCAACUAUAAGGAGCGUUAGAUCGUAAGGGCAAGCCUAUGGGUAUGUAGACUGUGCUUGUAACUUCUUUGUUGAGUGUGAGAGUUUAGAUUGUGACCAUAAAAGAUAAUGAGUGGUGGACUUUAUUACAGUGAUAGAAACUUGAGUUUUACUUAGUCUUGCUAGUCUCUGUGGGAUAUGAUGUCUAUGAUUAUAUGUGUGUUGAUAUUAAAUCAAUGCCGGUUGUAGAUCUUGAUGUGUUGAGCACAUAUGUGUGAAUGGCAAGUGAAUGGUUGUACUGAGUCUAGUUCAAUAGUCGAUUGCAUGUCAUUGAAUUGUUUAUGUUUACAAUUUGGUGUUGAGUUGCUUGAGGACAAACAAUUAUCUUAAGUUAAGGGUGUUAAUGUUCCGGUUUAAGACAAAAAAGUUUGCAUUUUUUCUUGAGAAAAUUGUGUGUUUUCAAGCAACUAAAGUUGUAUUUAACACUGGAUUUGAGUGUUUUCAGGUUAAGAAGUUAGCUGAAGAAGAAAAUCUGGAAAAGUAACAGAAAAAGGUCAUUGACGGUCCAACUGGUAGACCGUCACCCAUGCGACGGACCGCUGGGGUGGCCAUUAGAGUAAACCAAAAAGAAUAAAAUGAGAG
Molecule: long non-coding RNA, 7579 nt
Filed under: Capsicum annuum
Lineage: Eukaryota; Viridiplantae; Streptophyta; Magnoliopsida; Solanales; Solanaceae
Description: long non-coding RNA (CANN_LNC018967)
Source: RNAcentral